GACGAACGCUGGCGGCGUGCUUAACACAUGCAAGUCGAACGGAAAGGCCCUGCUUUUGUGGGGUGCUCGAGUGGCGAACGGGUGAGUAACACGUGAGUAACCUGCCCUUGACUUUGGGAUAACUUCAGGAAACUGGGGCUAAUACCGGAUAGGAGCUCCUGCUGCAUGGUGGGGGUUGGAAAGUUUCGGCGGUUGGGGAUGGACUCGCGGCUUAUCAGCUUGUUGGUGGGGUAGUGGCUUACCAAGGCUUUGACGGGUAGCCGGCCUGAGAGGGUGACCGGCAACAUUGGGAUUGAGAUGCGCCACGGCCCCAACGGGGAGGCGGGGGUGGGGAAUUGUCAAUAAGGGGCUGAGCCCGAGUCAGCACCCGCCGGGGGGGGUAGGACGGCUUGGGGUUUGGAACCCUCUUCCCCUUGACAGGAGGCGUGAGUGACGUUAAGGGGAAAAGAAGCCCCGGCUAACUUCGUG
This 468-nucleotide ribosomal RNA is filed under the name uncultured bacterium. RNAcentral describes it as "partial 16S ribosomal RNA". It matches the Rfam family "Bacterial small subunit ribosomal RNA", at positions 28 to 507 of the family's 1533-position model. The record is from RNAcentral.